GGAUUGCCCUAGUAACGGCGAGUGAAGCGGCAACAGCUCAAAUUUGAAAUCUGGCUCUUUCAGAGUCCGAGUUGUAAUUUGCAGAGGGCGCUUUGGCUUUGGCAGCGGUCCAAGUUCCUUGGAACAGGACGUCACAGAGGGUGAGAAUCCCGUACGUGGUCGCUAGCUAUUGCCGUGUAAAGCCCCUUCGACGAGUCGAGUUGUUUGGGAAUGCAGCUCUAAAUGGGAGGUAAAUUUCUUCUAAAGCUAAAUAUUGGCCAGAGACCGAUAGCGCACAAGUAGAGUGAUCGAAAGAUGAAAAGCACUUUGGAAAGAGAGUCAAACAGCACGUGAAAUUGUUGAAAGGGAAGCGCUUGCAGCCAGACUUGCUUGCAGUUGCUCAUCCGGGCUUUUGCCCGGUGCACUCUUCUGCAGGCAGGCCAGCAUCAGUUUGGGCGGUGGGAUAAAGGUCUCUGACACGUACCACCUUUCGGGGUGAACAUAUAGGGGAGAUGACAUACCACCAGCCUGGACUGAGGUCCGCGCAUCUGCUAGGAUGCUGGCGUAAUGGCUGUAAGCGGCCCGUCUUGAAACACGGACCAAGGAGUCUAACAUCUAUGCGAGUGUUUGGGUGUCAAGCCCGAACGCGUAAUGAAAGUGAACGGAGGUGGGAACCCGCAAGGGUGCACCAUCGACCGAUCCUGAAGUUUACGGAAGGAUUUGAGUAAGAGCAUGGCUGUUGGGACCCGAAAGAUGGUGAACUAUGCUUGAAUAGGGUGAAGCCAGAGGAAACUCUGGUGGAGGCUCGCAGCGGUUCUGACGUGCAAAUCGAUCGUCAAAUUUGGGCAUAGGGGCGA
RNAcentral lists this ribosomal RNA (836 nucleotides) under Curvularia kusanoi. Its description in RNAcentral is "eukaryotic LSU rRNA". It matches the Rfam family "Eukaryotic large subunit ribosomal RNA", at positions 72 to 926 of the family's 3401-position model. Lineage: Eukaryota; Fungi; Ascomycota; Dothideomycetes; Pleosporales; Pleosporaceae. The record is from RNAcentral.